GCGCGAGUGGUGAAAUUGGCAGACACGCUAGAUUUAGGCUCUAGUGCUUUACGGCGUAAGGGUUCAAGUCCCUUCCCGCGCA
Molecule: transfer RNA, 82 nt
Filed under: Mycoplasmopsis pullorum
Lineage: Bacteria; Bacillati; Mycoplasmatota; Mycoplasmoidales; Metamycoplasmataceae
Description: Mycoplasma pullorum tRNA
Rfam family: tRNA
About the family: Transfer RNA (tRNA) molecules are approximately 80 nucleotides in length. Their secondary structure includes four short double-helical elements and three loops (D, anti-codon, and T loops). Further hydrogen bonds mediate the characteristic L-shaped molecular structure. tRNAs have two regions of fundamental functional importance: the anti-codon, which is responsible for specific mRNA codon recognition, and the 3' end, to which the tRNAs corresponding amino acid is attached (by aminoacyl-tRNA synthetases). tRNAs cope with the degeneracy of the genetic code in two manners: having more than one tRNA (with a specific anti-codon) for a particular amino acid; and 'wobble' base-pairing, i.e. permitting non-standard base-pairing at the 3rd anti-codon position.
Source: Rfam by way of RNAcentral